CAGUGGGGAAUAUUGGACAAUGGACCAAAGUCUGAUCCAGCAAUUCUGUGUGCACGAUGACGGUCUUAGGAUUGUAAAGUGCUUUCAAUCGGGAAAAAGAAAGUGAUGGUACCGAUAGAAGAAGCGACGGCUAAAUACGUGCCAGCAGCCGCGGUAAUACGUAUGUCGCAAGCGUUAUCCGGAUUUAUUGGGCGUAAAGCGCGUCUAGGCGGUAUGGUAAGUCUGAUGUGGAAAUGCGGGGCUCAACUCCGUAUUGCGUUGGAAACUGCCAGACUAGAGUACUGGAGAGGUGGGCGGAACUACAAGUGUAGAGGUGAAAUUCGUAGAUAUUUGUAGGAAUGCCGAUAGAGAAGUCAGCUCACUGGACAGAUA
This 372-nucleotide ribosomal RNA is filed under the name uncultured bacterium. RNAcentral describes it as "bacterial SSU rRNA". It matches the Rfam family "Bacterial small subunit ribosomal RNA", at positions 352 to 739 of the family's 1533-position model. The record is from RNAcentral.